This 472-nucleotide ribosomal RNA is filed under the name uncultured bacterium. RNAcentral's name for it is "bacterial SSU rRNA". It matches the Rfam family "Bacterial small subunit ribosomal RNA", at positions 355 to 825 of the family's 1533-position model. The record is from RNAcentral.
UGGGGAAUAUUGGACAAUGGGCGAAAGCCUGAUCCAGCCAUGCCGCGUGUGUGAAGAAGGUCUUCGGAUUGUAAAGCACUUUAAGUUGGGAGGAAGGGCAGUUACCUAAUACGUGAUUGUUUUGACGUUACCGACAGAAUAAGCACCGGCUAACUCUGUGCCAGCAGCCGCGGUAAUACAGAGGGUGCAAGCGUUAAUCGGAAUUACUGGGCGUAAAGCGCGCGUAGGUGGUUAGUUAAGUUGGAUGUGAAAUCCCCGGGCUCAACCUGGGAACUGCAUUCAAAACUGACUGACUAGAGUAUGGUAGAGGGUGGUGGAAUUUCCUGUGUAGCGGUGAAAUGCGUAGAUAUAGGAAGGAACACCAGUGGCGAAUGCGACCACCUGGACUGAUACUGACACUGAGGUGCGAAAGCGUGGGGAGCAAACAGGAUUAGAUACCCCCGUAGUCCCUGAGCGGGCUGGCAAGGCGCAU